Molecule: ribosomal RNA, 353 nt
Filed under: uncultured bacterium
Lineage: Bacteria
Description: bacterial SSU rRNA
Rfam family: Bacterial small subunit ribosomal RNA
Source: RNAcentral
GGUGACAGGUGGUGCAUGGUUGUCGUCAGCUCGUGUCGUGAGAUGUUGGGUUAAGUCCCGCAACGAGCGCAACCCUUAUCCUUAGUAGCCAGCAGUUAGGCUGGGCACUCUAGGGAAACUGCCAGGAAUAACCUGGAGGAAGGGGGGGAUGACGUCAAAUCAUCAUGCCCCUUAUGACUUGGGCUACCCCCGUGCUACAAUGGCGUAAACAAAGGGAAGCAAAACGGGGAGGCUAAACAAAUCCUCAAAAUAACGUCUCAAUUCGGAUUGGUGUCUGCAACUCCACUUACUGAAGCUGGAAUUCCUUGUAAUCCCCAAUCAAAAUGGCCCGGUGAAAUCCUUCCCGGGUCUUU